Molecule: ribosomal RNA, 464 nt
Filed under: uncultured bacterium
Lineage: Bacteria
Description: bacterial SSU rRNA
Rfam family: Bacterial small subunit ribosomal RNA
Source: RNAcentral
CCAGACUCCUACGGGAGGCAGCAGUGAGGAAUAUUGGUCAAUGGUCGGGAGACUGAACCAGCCAAGCCGCGUGAGGGAGGAAGGUACAGAGUAUCGUAAACCUCUUUUGUCAGGGAACAAAGGCGGGGACGUGUCCCCGGAUGAGUGUACCUGAAGAAAAAGCAUCGGCUAACUCCGUGCCAGCAGCCGCGGUAAUACGGAGGAUGCGAGCGUUAUCCGGAUUUAUUGGGUUUAAAGGGUGCGCAGGCGGUUUGGUACUCCGGGGGACACCCCCGGGGCCCCCCCCCCGCCCCGCCGUUGAAACUGGCAGUCUCGAGUUGGAGAGAAGUAUGCGGAAUGCGCGGUGUAGCGGUGAAAUGCAUAGAUAUCGCGCAGAACUCCGAUUGCGAAGGCAGCAUGCCGGCUCCACACUGACGCUGAGGCACGAAAGCGUGGGUAUCGAACAGGAUUAGAUACCCCAGUAC